CAUGGCGGCAGUCACUGCCGUCACUUAGUCGCCGAUCAAGCCUUGGACUAAGGGCCCACGGUCCCUCGAGUAGGACUUGGAUCGGAUGCUGAAUAAAACUCACCGUGAAGCAAGUCCCACUGAACGAAAAGUUGGUCGUAGCAUUUCUCAGCAGCUGCUUCCGGCUCCCUGAGACCCAGCCAUGGAAGGCAUAGAAAGGCAUGUGACAAGAAACUCAUGGCUUUUAAUCCUGGCAGGACAAGGAAAACCCCGUCAAAGAUUUGCAUAAAUUUUGCUGCUCUCCUGCUGGGGCAG
Molecule: non-coding RNA, 294 nt
Filed under: Pan troglodytes (chimpanzee)
Lineage: Eukaryota; Metazoa; Chordata; Mammalia; Primates; Hominidae
Source: RNAcentral